ACUUAACUGGGGUCAAAUUGACUCUAGUAGGGAGUCCCUGCAUUCAAUAUGGCGACUUCCUAACAGAGUCAGGCUGACUCCUUUUAAGACGCUCA
This 95-nucleotide microRNA precursor is filed under the name Nasonia giraulti. Its description in RNAcentral is "microRNA ngi-mir-929 precursor". Its record names the gene ngi-mir-929. The stretch from base 8 to 84 matches the Rfam family "mir-929 microRNA precursor family". RNAcentral also lists the same sequence under 1 other name. Lineage: Eukaryota; Metazoa; Arthropoda; Insecta; Hymenoptera; Pteromalidae. The record is from miRBase by way of RNAcentral.